This 1032-nucleotide long non-coding RNA is filed under the name Callithrix jacchus (white-tufted-ear marmoset). RNAcentral's name for it is "lncRNA (ENSCJAG00000084813.1)". The record is from RNAcentral. Lineage: Eukaryota; Metazoa; Chordata; Mammalia; Primates; Cebidae.
UCAGUUUUUUCAACUCUGUGACACAGCGAUGACCUCUGCUCCCUCAGGUCCCAGGAAAAGCAGCAGCUGACUCUUCCUCUUAGUGAGCCACUGUGAUCCACACCAAGCCACUUGCCACUCUCAUGAUUCCCAAGGUGAGGGGGAAAUGGUAGCAGGAAGGGCCAAAACUCUGCAUGGAUGGAUACAUUUUUGCUUAGAUUCUGGUACUCUCCUAGCUAGGUAAACUUGAGAUUUUCUUUGGGCCUUACUUUCCUACCAUAAAAGGCCAGACUCAAACUGGCAUAUUUCCAUGCAUUUUCCAUAUCUAGAGUUGCACAAUGGAGUGUAUUUACUUAAACUUAACAAACACUUGCUGAAUACCUGCUAAGUGCAGAGCAUUGUGUUCUUUGCUGUGGACAGAAAAAGAAAUGAAUAAAUAGAAGCCAUGGUCACAGCCACAAGGAAUUUUUAUCUAGGAUGGCGGGCAACUGGUGCUCCUUCUCUCCUGUUUGCAUUAAAGAGCUGGGUCUGCUCCUGAAGAGAGAGACACGGCUUGGUGCAGCACUCCCUGCAGCAGAGAAGAAGAGCCUGCCUAACUCUAUGGUGCUGUGCUGACAUGCUGGCUUGCCCAUAGAUGUGUUGUCACAUCCUACCAUAACAUCUUUAUUGGUGAUAAAUGCCAUAUUGUGGCCUCCAACCUGCCUAACUCCAUCUCCUGUCUUAAUUUCUUCGUAACACAAGUGAGAGAAAAAAAGGUGUUAAUUACUGAGUAUCCUUGAUUUCCAACAUUCAAGAAGCUGUUGACUACCCCAAGGGGCCUCUGGUUUCCCUGCCCAAAUAGAUGGGUUUAUUAAACUGAUUCAUCUGCAUUGCCUUCUUUCCUUACUCCUGAUGGUGUCAUGCAUUUUUCAGGGUGACUAUGUGCUAGUGGAACAAAUUCCCACUUUGACUCUGAAUAUUUUAAAGCUGAGUCAAUGAGAGAAUUUAAUUUAAUCAUCAUUUCAUCCUUUGCCUGUGAAAUAAUCCAUAAAAACAUGUCAAUAAAUACUCUCA